CUACUGAGGGUGCAAACGUUAAUCGGAAUUACUGGGCGUAAAGCGCGCGUAGGCGGUAAGUUAAGUUGGAUGUGAAAUCCCUGGGCUCAACCUAGGAACUGCAUUCAAAACUGGCUCACUAGAGUAUGGUAGAGGUAAGUGGAAUUCCAGGUGUAGCGGUGAAAUGCGUAGACAUCUGGAGGAACAUCAGUGGCGAAGGCGACUUACUGGGCCAAUACUGACGCUGAGGUGCGAAAGCAUGGGUAGCAAACGGGAUUAGAAACCCCAGUAGUCC
RNAcentral lists this ribosomal RNA (274 nucleotides) under uncultured bacterium. RNAcentral's name for it is "partial 16S ribosomal RNA". It matches the Rfam family "Bacterial small subunit ribosomal RNA", at positions 523 to 796 of the family's 1533-position model. The record is from RNAcentral.